ACUCACCUUAAAAAGACCAAAGAAACACAAAAAGAAAGAAGGAGAAGAAAAAAAACUGGCCAAGAAGUCAUCUUCUCGACUCCAUUCGUCAACAACAUCCGUAGUUUCUCCUUCCUCUACUAUUCCCGACUCCCAAUAUUGUAAUCCUUUU
This 151-nucleotide non-coding RNA is filed under the name Paramoeba aestuarina. The record is from RNAcentral. Lineage: Eukaryota; Discosea; Flabellinia; Dactylopodida; Paramoebidae.